CCUACGGGAGGCAGCAGUGAGGAAUAUUGGUCAAUGGGCGCAAGCCUGAACCAGCCAUGCCGCGUGAAGGAAGAAGGUUCUAUGGAUUGUAAACUUCUUUUAUUUAGGAAUAAACCCCUGGUCGAGCAUCAGGGCUGAAGGUACUAAAUGAAUAAGCACCGGCUAACUCCGUGCCAGCAGCCGCGGUAAUACGGAGGGUGCAAGCGUUAUCCGGAAUCAUUGGGUUUAAAGGGUCCGCAGGCGGAUUUAUAAGUCAGUGGUGAAAUCCUGCAGCUCAACUGCAGAACUGCCAUUGAUACUGUAAGUCUUGAAUUUGAUCGGAGUGGGCGGAAUGUGUAGUGUAGCGGUGAAAUGCAUAGAUAUUACACAGAACACCGAUAGCGAAGGCAGCUCACUAGGUUAUAAUUGACGCUCAUGGACGAAAGCGUGGGGAUCAAACAGGAUUAGAUACCCUGGUAGUCCACGCCGUAAACGA
This 475-nucleotide ribosomal RNA is filed under the name uncultured bacterium. RNAcentral's name for it is "bacterial SSU rRNA". It matches the Rfam family "Bacterial small subunit ribosomal RNA", at positions 338 to 809 of the family's 1533-position model. The record is from RNAcentral.